GGGGCUGAGGCUCAGUUUGGCUAGAGCGUCUCGUUUGCAACGAAAGGGUCGCGGGUUCGGCUCCCGUCAGCUCCA
Molecule: transfer RNA, 75 nt
Filed under: Bacteroidia bacterium
Lineage: Bacteria; Pseudomonadati; Bacteroidota; Bacteroidia
Description: tRNA-Ala
Rfam family: tRNA
About the family: Transfer RNA (tRNA) molecules are approximately 80 nucleotides in length. Their secondary structure includes four short double-helical elements and three loops (D, anti-codon, and T loops).
Source: RNAcentral